RNAcentral lists this ribosomal RNA (431 nucleotides) under uncultured bacterium. Its description in RNAcentral is "partial 16S ribosomal RNA". It matches the Rfam family "Bacterial small subunit ribosomal RNA", at positions 29 to 507 of the family's 1533-position model. The record is from RNAcentral.
AACGAACGCUGGCGGCAGGCCUAACACAUGCAAGUCGAGCGCCCCGCAAGGGGAGCGGCGGACGGGUGAGUAACGCGUGGGAAUAUGCCCUUUGCUACGGAAUAGUCUCGGGAAACUGGGGGUAAUACCGUAUACGCCCUUUGGGGGAAAGAUUUAUCGGCGAAGGAUUAGCCCGCGUUGGAUUAGGUAGUUGGUGGGGUAAUGGCCUACCAAGCCGACGAUCCACAGCUGGUUUGAGAGGAUGAUCAGCCACACUGGGACUGAGACACGGCCCAGACUCCUACGGGAGGCAGCAGUGGGGAAUCUUAGACAAUGGGGGCAACCCUGAUCUAGCCAUGCCGCGUGAGUGAUGAAGGCCUUAGGGUUGUAAAGCUCUUUCAGCUGGGAAGAUAAUGACGGUACCAGCAGAAGAAGCCCCGGCUAACUCCGUG